RNAcentral lists this ribosomal RNA (497 nucleotides) under uncultured bacterium. RNAcentral describes it as "partial 16S ribosomal RNA". It matches the Rfam family "Bacterial small subunit ribosomal RNA", at positions 28 to 507 of the family's 1533-position model. The record is from RNAcentral.
GAUGAACGCUGGCGGCGUGCCUAAUACAUGCAAGUCGAGCGGACGGACGAUAAGCUUGCUUCUCUGACGUUAGCCGCGGACGUGAGAGUAACACGUGUAUAACGUACCUAUAAGACUGGGAUAACCUCGAGAAAGCGGAGCUAACCCCGGAUAAUAUUUUGAACCGCAUUGUUCAAAGGUGAAAUUCGGUCUUGCUGUCACUUAUAGCUGGAUCCGCGCUGCAUUAGCUAGUUGGUAAGGUAACGGCUUAUCAAGGCAACGAUGCAUAGCCGACCUAAGAGGGUGAUCGGCCACCCGGGAACUGAGACGCGGACCAGACUCCUACGGGAGGCAGCAGUAGGGAAUCUUCCGCAGUGGGCGAAAGCCUGACGGAGCAACGCCGCGUGAGUGAUGAAGGUCCUCGGAUCGUAAAACUCUGUUAUUAGGGAAAAACCUAUGUGUAAGUAACUGUGCACAUCUUGACGGUACCUGAUCAGAAAGCCACGGCUAACUACGUG